GACGAACGCUGGCGGCGUGCUUAACACAUGCAAGUCGAACGGUGAAGCGCCUUCCUUUUUGGUGGGUGUGGAUGAGUGGCGAACGGGUGAGUAACACGUGAGUAACCUGCCCCCUUCUUCUGGAUAACCGCAUGAAAGUGUGGCUAAUACGGGAUAUUCUGGGUCUGUCGCAUGAUGGGUCUGGGAAAGAUAUUGUUUCGGUGGGGGAUGGGCUCGCGGCCUAUCAGCUUGUUGGUGGGGUGAUGGCCUACCAAGGCGGUGACGGGUAGCCGGCCUGAGAGGGUGGACGGCCACACUGGGACUGAGACACGGCGCAGACUCCUACGGGAGGCAGCAGGGGGGAAUAUUGCACAAUGGGCGCAAGCCUGAUGCAGCGACGCCGCGUGAGGGAUGGAGGCCUUCGGGUUGUGAACCUCUUUCGCCAGUGAAGCAGGCCUGCCUCGUUUGUGGGUGGGUUGACGGUAGCUGGAGAAGAAGCGCCGGCUAACUACGUG
RNAcentral lists this ribosomal RNA (494 nucleotides) under uncultured bacterium. RNAcentral describes it as "partial 16S ribosomal RNA". It matches the Rfam family "Bacterial small subunit ribosomal RNA", at positions 28 to 507 of the family's 1533-position model. The record is from RNAcentral.